GAUGAACGCUGGCGGCGUGCCUAAUACAUGCAAGUCGAGCGAACGGACGAGAAGCUUGCGUCUCUGAUGUUAGCGGCGGACGGGUGAGUAACACGUGGAUAACCUACCUAUAAGACUGGGAUAACUUCGGGAAACCGGAGCUAAUACCGGAUAAUAUUUUGAACCGCAUGGUUCAAAAGUGAAAGACGGUCUUGCUGUCACUUAUAGAUGGAUCCGCGCUGCAUUAGCUAGUUGGUAAGGUAACGGCUUACCAAGGCAACGAUGCAUAGCCGACCUGAGAGAGUGAUCGGCCACACUGGAACUGAGACACGGUCCAGACUCCUACGGGAGGCAGCAGUAGGGAAUCUUCCGCAAUGGGCGAAAGCCUGACGGAGCAACGCCGCGUGAGUGAUGAAGGUCUUCGGAUCGUAAAACUCUGUUAUUAGGGAAGAACAUAUGUGUAAGUAACUGUGCACAUCUUGACGGUACCUAAUCAGAAAGCAACGGCUAACUACGUG
RNAcentral lists this ribosomal RNA (497 nucleotides) under uncultured bacterium. RNAcentral describes it as "partial 16S ribosomal RNA". It matches the Rfam family "Bacterial small subunit ribosomal RNA", at positions 28 to 507 of the family's 1533-position model. The record is from RNAcentral.